Long non-coding RNA from Hylaeus volcanicus, 1582 nucleotides. RefSeq lists it as uncharacterized. The transcript has 4 exons. Lineage: Eukaryota; Metazoa; Arthropoda; Insecta; Hymenoptera; Colletidae. The record is from RefSeq and is a predicted model, not a curated record.
GCUCGGCACCUUAUGUGUCUCUAGAAACAUAAAUAUUUAAUCCCAGCACGCAGCAGUUCCUUUUCGCGAUUAAUCGUCCCGACGAGUCAGUUUUUGCAAUCAACGACGAUAAUUUACAGUAGGUAUGACGACGCCAGGAACCGAACGUCUCUCCCCUUAAUCAUCUAUAUUUUUAUAUUCCUAACAGGACUUACGCAAUGCCCGUCGAUGGUUCGUUGGUAAAAAUAGGUACUUGCGUUACAUCCAGUGGCGGUGACGCCGUCCAAGUCCAUAAAAGCGCACCAAAGGAUCACUCCCGUCACUGUCGCGUAUCCUUCUUUUUUUUUUUUUUUUUAUAUUACAUAGAACUCACUCACUCGCGUACCGCGCUACACUCCCGACCCGUUUUUCAUCGGAGCCGCUGUCGCACGCUUAAUCGGUCCUAGGUUCCUUCUUUUGCACAUCCCCGGCAUCGAAGUCUCUCGCGAAAGCACGCACACCGAGCGGAGAACCGGAUCCCAGCCAACGAACUCCUAUACUUGUCACAGAAAGUGUCCCCCGCUCGAAAUCACUGCACCACGGAUCACGGACAUCUAGCUGUGCAGACCACUUAUCAUUUUGCUUGAGCAUUAAUUAACGAACAUAAAUUACCUUCUAAGAAGUAAUGUGUUCCGUCGAAGGAUGACGGAAUAAAAUUAUGCGAUAGAGGGUUAAGAGCAGACGAGUCCCAAGGUGAGGAAGUGACUUUUAAUCGAUUAGAUAAUGACGGUGACGGAGUGAUUGUUAUUGGAUUUCCGAGUCGAACCAGUCUUCCGUCGACUGAUCCUUCGAGGGAACACUGUACGAAUCGUGACGUCGGAUACGAGCAUACCAAGCCGAGGAUGGAGAGGAAGAAGAGCGUGAGAAAUUUUCAUCGAGCCGUAUCGACCGAACGGAAAUAAAAAUCCUCGAGAGGAAGAGACGACCAUUUUGGAGAACCAAGAAUCCCUUCGACCGUGACCAACCUGUUUAUCCUGCUUCCAGACUUUAGACAAAGCUAAUCAAACAACUAUGGUACACUCCUCGUGACACUUUAGGAUGACGAUUCUGUAGCACGACAGGACUCUUGGACCGUGACCACCGUAAUUAUCCUUCUUUUCGGAGUAUCCUGGCAAAAACUUCAGUCCGCGAGCGACCCGAGCUAGACACGAGAAUAAUCUCCUUAACGACCUUGACUUCAGGAGAAGCUAAACCCGUUCAACUUUCGAUACGUCCUGAGCUCCCGAUAUAGAAUCCCGCGGACUCGUUACCAUUUUAUCACCAGAAACGCACGCUUCGCGAUACAGCGGGAUCAACGAUCGAGACGUCGAGUCGCGUGAACCACAGUCGACGAACACGGGGAACCGUCUCCGGAUAACUUUAACAUCCGGCUACGAGCAGACCUGGUACCGAGGAGAAAACGCGAAAACGGCGCGAGAUACCAGGUGGUCCCGCGUGGAAAACGGCAAACGACCUAAUUAAUCGACGUGUACCGUUAAAGUCGAAAGUACCGACGGGUGGUUGGACGUUCGUGAAACUUCGUAUCCUCGAAGCAGACGGUUCCUCGAGCACACUUACCCGUCCC